This 2187-nucleotide ribosomal RNA is filed under the name Triticum aestivum (bread wheat). RNAcentral's name for it is "partial small subunit ribosomal RNA". The record is from RNAcentral. Lineage: Eukaryota; Viridiplantae; Streptophyta; Magnoliopsida; Poales; Poaceae.
AUGAUCAUGGCAACAAUUACCGGCGAGAACCCAAACAUGUCCAUUUUACAAAGAUUGACCACAAGCGAUUUGCCACUGGUGAAAGAAUAUGGUCUGCCUGGAGUUAUUGGUGCACUUUUACUGGCUAUAGUUAUCCCUAUCUUUCUUUCUUCCAUGUUUAGCAAAAAGGUGAAAAAGAGAGCAGUGCAAGUUGAUGUUGGUGGUGAAGCAGGCCUUGCCAUGCGAAACAGUAGAUUUUCCUCUUUAAUUCAAGUUCCAUGGGAGGGUGCCACCACAAUGGCAGCUCUGUUUGAGAUGGCUAGCAAAAAGUACACUCAGCACCGGUGUCUUGGCACAAGAAAACUGAUUAGUAGUGAAUUCAUAGAAGCUGCUGAUGGAAGGAAGUUUGAGAAACUGCACCUUGGUGAAUAUCAGUGGGAUUCCUAUGCAGAGGCAUUUAAACGUGCAUGUAACUUUGCUUCUGGUCUCAUCAAGAUGGGGCACCAGCUAGAUAGUCGUGCUGCUAUCUUUUCUGAUACUAGAGCCGAGUGGAUCAUUGCUGCUCAGGGAUGCUUUCGACAAAAUUUAACUGUUGUAACAAUUUAUGCAUCUCUCGGCGAGGAUGCACUGGUGCAUUCACUGAACGAGACACAGGUUUCCACUCUGAUUUGUGACUCAAAACAACUUAAGAAGCUGCCUGCAGUCAGCUCAAAGUUGCAAAGUCUUAAGCAUGUUAUCUACAUUGAGGAUGAACCUGUUGAGGCUGACACACUUAAUCAACUGAAACACUUGACAACAUUAUCUUUUAAUGCGGUUGAGGAGUUGGGCAAAACAUCACAUGCAGAUGCGAGACUACCAUCAAGCACUGAUACUGCAGUUAUUAUGUAUACAAGUGGAAGUACUGGUCUCCCCAAGGGUGUGAUGAUCACGCAUGGCAACAUGGUGGCCACAAUUGCAGCAGUGAGGACAACCAUUCCAAACCUUGGCACAAGUGAUGUUUAUCUGGCAUACCUUCCGCUGGCUCAUGUUUUUGAACUAGCGGCAGAGUCUGUCAUGUUAGCUUCUGGUGUUGCUAUUGGAUAUGGCUCAGCCUUGACAAUGACCGAUGCAUCAAAUAAGAUAAAGAAGGGGACAAAAGGAGAUGUUUCUGUACUGAAACCUACUCUAAUGAUUUCAGUUCCUGCAAUUCUGGAUCGCAUAAGAGAUGCAGUGUUUAAGAAGGUUGCUGAGAAGGGUGGCAUAACCAAAAAGCUAUUUGAUGUUGCAUAUAAACGAAAUCUUGGAGCAAUCGAAGGGAGUUGGACUGGAUCUUGGGCGCCAGAGAGGUUUAUAUGGAAUAGCAUUAUCUUCAAACCAAUACGUGCGAUGCUUGGAGGGCAUAUAAGAUUUAUUCUUUGUGGUGGCGCACCUCUAUCAAGUGAAACACAAAGAUUCAUAAAUAUAUGUCUGGGUGUCCCAGUUGGUCAAGGCUAUGGAUUGACCGAGACUUGCGCUGGAGCAGCUUUCUCUGAAUGGGAUGACACAAGUGUGGGUCGUGUUGGUCCACCCCUCCCUUGUUGCUAUGUCAAGCUUAUUUCAUGGGAAGAAGGUGGUUAUAGAAUUUCUGAUUCUCCAAGGCCCCGUGGAGAGGUUGUCAUUGGUGGCCACAGUAUAACAAAAGGUUAUUUCAACAAUGAAGCAAAAACAAACGAGGUGUAUAAGGUGGAUGAGAGGGGAAUACGCUGGUUUUACACUGGAGAUAUUGGCCAGUUCCAUCCUGAUGGAUGCGUUGAGAUCAUCGACAGGAAAAAAGACAUAGUAAAACUUCAACACGGAGAAUAUGUAUCUCUUGGCAAGGUUGAAUCAGCUCUACAGACAAGCAAUUAUGUGGACAACAUCAUGGUCUAUGCUGAUCCAUUUCAUAGUUACUGUGUUGCACUGGUUGUGCCACCACACCAGGCCUUGGAGAAGUGGGCUCAAAAUUCAGGGAUAAGCUACAAAGACAUUGAGGAGCUGUGUCACAAUGAUCAAGCAAUUAAGGAGGUCCAGCAAUCUCUAUCAAAGGCCGCGAAAGCAGCGAGGCUCGAGAAGUUUGAAAUACCAGCUAGGAUCAUUUUGCUGCCUGAACCUUGGACCCCAGAGUCUGGGCUUGUGACCGCUGCGCUUAAGCUGAAGAGGGAGCAGCUGAAGGCCAAAUUUAAAGAUGAUCUGAACAAGCUCUACCAGUAG